This 301-nucleotide ribosomal RNA is filed under the name uncultured bacterium. Its description in RNAcentral is "partial 16S ribosomal RNA". It matches the Rfam family "Bacterial small subunit ribosomal RNA", at positions 509 to 808 of the family's 1533-position model. The record is from RNAcentral.
CAGUCGCGCGGUAAUACGUAGGUGGCAAGCGUUGUCCGGAAUUAUUGGGCGUAAAGGGCUCGCAGGCGGUUUCUUAAGUCUGAUGUGAAAGCCCCCGGCUCAACCGGGGAGGGUCAUUGGAAACUGGGAAACUUGAGUGCAGAAGAGGAGAGUGGAAUUCCACGUGUAGCGGUGAAAUGCGUAGAGAUGUGGAGGAACACCAGUGGCGAAGGCGACUCUCUGGUCUGUAACUGACGCUGAGGAGCGAAAGCGUGGGGAGCGAACAGGAUUAGAUACCCGCGUAGUCCCUGUCUCUUAUACA